AUUAGAUCAGUCGUAGAUCAUUGGUUUCCGACGCCAAAGGUCGCGGGUUCAAAUCCCGCAUGC
Molecule: transfer RNA, 63 nt
Filed under: Tryblionella compressa
Lineage: Eukaryota; Bacillariophyta; Bacillariophyceae; Bacillariales; Bacillariaceae
Rfam family: tRNA
About the family: Transfer RNA (tRNA) molecules are approximately 80 nucleotides in length.
Source: RNAcentral